RNAcentral lists this ribosomal RNA (507 nucleotides) under uncultured bacterium. RNAcentral describes it as "bacterial SSU rRNA". It matches the Rfam family "Bacterial small subunit ribosomal RNA", at positions 8 to 518 of the family's 1533-position model. The record is from RNAcentral.
AGAGUUGAUCCUGGCUCAGGAUAAACGCUGGCGGCGUGCAUAACACAUUCAAGUCGAACGAAGCUCCGGACCUUGCUUGCAAGGGAAGGAAGACUUAGUGGCGGACGGGUGAGUAACGCGUGAGCAAUCUGCCUUGGGGUGCGGGAUAACGUUUGGAAACGGACGCUAAUACCGCAUGACGCAUGGAUAUCGCAUGGUGACCAUGCCAAAGAUUUAUUGCCCUGAGAUGAGCUCGCGUCCGAUUAGAUAGUUGGUGAGGUAACGGCUUACCAAGUCAGCGAUCGGUAGCCGGACUGAGAGGUUGAACGGCCACAUUGGAACUGAGAUACGGUCCAGACUCCUACGGGAGGCAGCAGUGGGGAAUAUUGGGCAAUGGGCGAAAGCCUGAACCCCAGCGACGCCGCGUGAGGGAAGAAGGUCUUCGGAUUGUAAACCUCUUUCAGCAGGGAAGAAGGAAGUGACGGUACCUGCAGAAGAAGCCACGGCUAACUACGUGCCAGCCGCCGC